CCUACGGGAGGCAGCAGUGAGGAAUAUUGGGCAAUGGGCGAGAGCCUGAACCAGCCAAGUCGCGUGAGGGAGUACUGCCCUCUGGGUUGUAAACCUCUUUUGUCGGGGAGCAAAAGCCGGACGUGUCCGGCUGUGAGAGUAGCCGAAGAAAAAGCAUCGGCUAACUCCGUGCCAGCAGCCGCCGUAAUACGGAGGAUGCGAGCGUUAUCCGGAUUUAUUGGGUUUAAAGGGUGCGCAGGCGGCUUUUUAAGUCAGCGGUCAAAGCGUGGGGCUUAACCCCAGUCAGCCGUGGAAACUGGGGAUCUAGAGUGUGCGAGAGGUAUGCGGAAUGCGUGGUGUAGCGGUGAAAUGCAUAGAUAUCACGCAGAACCCCGAUUGCGAAGGCAGCAUUCCGGUGCACAACUGACGCUCAGGCACGAAAGCGUGGGUAUCGAACAGGAUUAGAUACCCCAGUAGUC
RNAcentral lists this ribosomal RNA (458 nucleotides) under uncultured bacterium. RNAcentral's name for it is "partial 16S ribosomal RNA". It matches the Rfam family "Bacterial small subunit ribosomal RNA", at positions 338 to 795 of the family's 1533-position model. The record is from RNAcentral.